AUCUGGGAAAUUAAUAUAAGUUUUACAUUCUAAUUCAUUAAUUUCGUAAUAUCGUUUUGUAAAAUGGAAUUUUAAGCGUUUGUAAGGAAUACUUAGAUUUGGUAACAUGAAAUGUGUUUUGACGAUAAAAUUAGCUUUGUUUGGUGCAAAAUUUUACUUGCGUAAAUGUGGUGUUUCUUUCUAUGCAUUUCGUCUGAAAAAUUAAUAUACACGUGCUCCGCAAACAGUUUCACCAUAGCCUGAGCGCAGAAAAUCUACGUGUAUUUCGAUCUACUUCAGCCGCGUUCCACGAUUCCAUCAUCUUCUGGUGUAAGAAACGAAUAAAAGAAGCUGGCUUUCUGAGAGCAGUGGACUGCGUCGAAGGAUCUUCGAAGGAACGAUCGUUGAGAGACGGGCGAGCGAAGAAGGCGGAGGAACUAGACAUCCGAAAACGAUGCCCCCCCCCCCCUGCAACUAAUUACCAUCCCCGUACGUGCAGCCAUAAAGCUAUCGAGCCCACGACCACGCUCGAUCCCUCGAUUGAAUUUCAAAUCGGCCGGCCAAUUAAAAAAAGAAAGAGAAGAGGAGGAAGAGAAUCGCUCUCGAGCCGCUUGGCCAAUUAAGAAGAAAAAAAGCAGAAAGAAGAGAAACAAACAAACUGAAGAAACGGCGAGCGAAAGAAAAGGAAAAAAGGGAAAAAGGCAGGGACGAAGAAAAGAAACGUAGAACGAGAAAAGGCAGCCGCGUUAAAAUGAACGACGAUUCACGGACAAGAAGGAAAGAGAACGAGUCUAAGUAGAUCGUAUCGCGUUCCAGGCAAUUAUUCUGCAAGUCAGGUGCAGUUACGGCUGCCUUGCAACGGCACAGCUUUCCAGCCAGGGGCAAUCGGUUUCGAUCGGCAACACAGGCUGGCGGUAAUGUAAUCGCGAAAAAGGUAGCCCGUGUAACGGCGAUAAGACGCGGGACGACGUGAAAUCUCGAAAGAUUCGUCGCUAUAUUACGCGAGAGAGAAAAGGAGCAUCGAUCUUAUCAAUGGCUGCUGGUACACGAAGGAUUGUCACGAACGUACGUACAUUGUGAUAAGAGUAAAGAGACGUAGGUUGGAUUCGAAUCGGUGUAAGAUUGUCACGGUGAUUCAGCUGGAAUUAUUAUCGUCCCGUUUCUCGUUCACGCUGCUCUUUAACCGAGAUAAUCGAUGCACCACCCCACGAUCGCUUAAUUACUGCUCGCUCCUGUCCCUCGUGUAUCUUUGGUACGUGCACGUAAGCAUUCGGCUGUCGCGUCCUCGUCGUUGGAAACAGCACGUCGACAAAUGGCCAUUUUUCAAUCUCCUUGCGAACGAAAAAAGAAAAAAGAACAAAUUCUGGAGCACGAAAGAUCCACGUUUAAGAGCAUCUCUCAAGAAACGACAAACGCGAUUUAUACGAAACGCGAUGGAAUGGCUGAGAAAGACGAGCGCGAAGAUGAAAAGAAGGUGGCAGCAGUCGAGGAAUUUACCAAUACGUCGAUGAAAUAAUUCUGUGGAUAUUCUGCUGGUAAAUCGAUCGAAAUUUGGACCUUGUUGUUGGCUCGCGUUAUUUGUUCUGUUUUAAACUUCCAUCGAUUUGUCAGCAGAGUUUGCGAAGGAUCAUCACGUGGAUACCGAUGAACGAUUAUUCCAUAGCUGGAUAAGCGGAUAGAUCUUUUCUGGUUGACGCUUUUGCAUUUCCUGCAAGGAUUUUUCGUCCGCCAAGGAGACGCAAAAAUGGCCAUUUCUUAAGAUUCUCCUUUACCUCGCGCUUUCGUAUUUCGUUGGACAUUAUUUAUGGCAGGAUGUCGCGCCGGGUUGUUGGAAAGUUUGCAGCGAAAUUUAAUCCUGCUACGAUCCUUCAACUUUUAUUUCUCAAUCUUACUCUCGUGUUAGAAAAGAGAAAGUAUUUGCGAUGCUGCAAGAAGAUAUUUAAAAUAAAAUUGAAACGAGCUUAUGGACCUUCCUCGUAUUUUCUUCGAACCGUGAAGAUAUUUUGCAACAUUUGGGAAAAUGUAAUUGGAUGGAAAAUAAUGGGAAGAACUUAGUAACUUAGGCUCAAGAAAGAUUUAAAGUUCUAACUUGUAGCAAAGUAUCUUAUCGGGUAAUAACGGUAGCUAAUUAUGUUCGAAAGUGUUUGUAACUUUUAGACAUUUUCAUAGUAUUUUUACGCGAUUACAAAAAUGUCAUACCGUGGAAAUGCGAGGAUCGACGCAAAAACUCUUCGUUGGAAAAUAAGCACGUAGAGAU
Bombus pyrosoma is the source of this 2236-nucleotide long non-coding RNA. RefSeq lists it as uncharacterized. The transcript has 4 exons. Lineage: Eukaryota; Metazoa; Arthropoda; Insecta; Hymenoptera; Apidae. The record is from RefSeq and is a predicted model, not a curated record.